UUUCAAUAGAGGGUUUUCAGAGUUUCAUGGAAACACUGAGCGCUCUAAGAAUUUAAAAACUGCGCACUUCCGGACGGAAAGCCGUUACAAGGCUUUUCCUGGAAGUGCGCUAUAUGCGCGGGUC
Molecule: small RNA, 124 nt
Filed under: Sinorhizobium meliloti 2011
Lineage: Bacteria; Pseudomonadati; Pseudomonadota; Alphaproteobacteria; Hyphomicrobiales; Rhizobiaceae
Description: putative ncRNA
Source: RNAcentral